This 253-nucleotide ribosomal RNA is filed under the name uncultured bacterium. RNAcentral's name for it is "partial 16S ribosomal RNA". It matches the Rfam family "Bacterial small subunit ribosomal RNA", at positions 524 to 776 of the family's 1533-position model. The record is from RNAcentral.
UACGGAGGGAGCUAGCGUUGUUCGGAAUUACUGGGCGUAAAGCGCGCGUAGGCGGCUUUGUGAGUUAGAGGUGAAAGCCCGGAGCUCAACUCCGGAACUGCCUUUAAAACUGCAUCGCUUGAAUCCAGGAGAGGUGAGUGGAAUUCCGAGUGUAGAGGUGAAAUUCGUAGAUAUUCGGAAGAACACCAGUGGCGAAGGCGGCUCACUGGACUGGUAUUGACGCUGAGGUACGAAAGCGUGGGGAGCAAACAGG